GCGGCCUAUCAGCUUGUUGGUGAGGUAAUGGCUCACCAAGGCGACGACGGGUAGCCGGCCUGAGAGGGCGACCGGCCACACUGGGACUGAGACACGGCCCAGACUCCUGCGGGAGGCAGCAGUGGGGAAUAUUGGGCAAUGGAGGGAACUCUGACCCAGCGACGCCGCGUGCGGGAUGAAGGCCUUCGGGUUGUAAACCGCUUUCAGCAAGGAAGAAGCGAAAGUGACGGUACUUGCAGAAGAAGCACCGGCUAACUAUGUGCCAGCAGCCGCGGUAAUACAUAGGGUGCAAGCGUUGUCCGGAAUUAUUGGGCGUAAAGAGCUCGUAGGUGGUUCGUCACGUCGGAUGUGAAAAUCUGGGGCUUAACCCCAGACCUGCAUUCGAUACGGGCGAGCUAGAGUGUGGUAGGGGAGACUGGAAUUCCU
This 426-nucleotide ribosomal RNA is filed under the name uncultured Actinomycetes bacterium. Its description in RNAcentral is "bacterial SSU rRNA". It matches the Rfam family "Bacterial small subunit ribosomal RNA", at positions 233 to 671 of the family's 1533-position model. Lineage: Bacteria; Bacillati; Actinomycetota; Actinomycetes. The record is from RNAcentral.